This 227-nucleotide ribosomal RNA is filed under the name Clostridioides difficile. RNAcentral describes it as "partial 16S ribosomal RNA". It matches the Rfam family "Bacterial small subunit ribosomal RNA", at positions 610 to 841 of the family's 1533-position model. Lineage: Bacteria; Bacillati; Bacillota; Clostridia; Peptostreptococcales; Peptostreptococcaceae. The record is from RNAcentral.
CAACCGUAGUAAGCUCUUGAAACUGGGAGACUUGAGUGCAGGAGAGGAGAGUGGAAUUCCUAGUGUAGCGGUGAAAUGCGUAGAUAUUAGGAGGAACACCAGUUGCGAAGGCGGCUCUCUGGACUGUAACUGACGCUGAGGCACGAAAGCGUGGGGAGCAAACAGGAUUAGAUACCCUGGUAGUCCACGCUGUAAACGAUGAGUACUAGGUGUCGGGGGUUACCCCC